UCCAGACUCCUACGGGAGGCAGCAGUGGGGAAUAUUGCACAAUGGGGGAAACCCUGAUGCAGCAACGCCGCGUGAGUGAGGAAGUAUUUCGGUAUGUAAAGCUCUAUCAGCAGGGAAUAGAAAAGAAGGUACCUGAAAAAGAAGCCCCGGCUAACUACGUGCCAGCAGCCGCGGUAAUACGUAGGGGGCAAGCGUUAUCCGGAUUUACUGGGUGUAAAGGGAGCGUAGGCGGCAGUGCAAGUCAGAAGUGAAAGCCCGGGGCUCAACUCCGGGACUGCUUUUGAAACUGUACAGCUUGAUUGCAGGAGAGGCAAGUGGAAUUCCUAGUGUAGCGGUGAAAUGCGUAGAUAUUAGGAGGAACACCAGUGGCGAAGGCGGCUUGCUGGACUGUAAAUGACGCUGAGGCUCGAAAGCGUGGGGAGCAAACAGGAUUAGAUACCCGAGUA
RNAcentral lists this ribosomal RNA (446 nucleotides) under uncultured bacterium. Its description in RNAcentral is "partial 16S ribosomal RNA". It matches the Rfam family "Bacterial small subunit ribosomal RNA", at positions 330 to 792 of the family's 1533-position model. The record is from RNAcentral.